RNAcentral lists this ribosomal RNA (596 nucleotides) under uncultured Desulfobulbaceae bacterium. Its description in RNAcentral is "bacterial SSU rRNA". It matches the Rfam family "Bacterial small subunit ribosomal RNA", at positions 9 to 583 of the family's 1533-position model. The record is from RNAcentral. Lineage: Bacteria; Pseudomonadati; Thermodesulfobacteriota; Desulfobulbia; Desulfobulbales; Desulfobulbaceae.
GAGUUUGAUCAUGGCUCAGAACGAACGCUGGCGGCGUGCUUAACACAUGCAAGUCGAACGCGAAAGGGACUUCGGUCCCGAGUAGAGUGGCGCACGGGUGAGUAACGCGUAAGUAAUCUACCCCUGUAUCUGGAAUAACCCACCGAAAGGUGAGCUAAUACCGGAUACGUUUAUCUUGAUGCGAAUGAUGAUAAAGAAAGGUGGCCUCUUCAUGAAAGCUACCGUACAGGGACGAGCUUGCGUACCAUUAGCUGGUUGGUAGGGUAAUGGCCUACCAAGGCGACGAUGGUUAGCGGGUCUGAGAGGAUGAUCCGCCACACUGGAACUGAAACACGGACCAGACUCCUACGGGAGGCAGCAGUGAGGAAUAUUGCGCAAUGGGGGCAACCCUGACGCAGCGACGCCGCGUGGACGAUGAAGGCCCUUGGGUCGUAAAAUCCUGUCAGAUGGAAAGAAAUGUACAGGUGUUAAUACCGCCUGUAUUUGACGGUACCAUCAAAGGAAGCACCGGCUAACUCCGUGCCAGCAGCCGCGGUAUACCGGAGGGUGCGAGCGUUGUUCGAUUACUGGGCGUAAAGCGCGCGUAGGCGGUUUGC